Non-coding RNA from Microcebus murinus (gray mouse lemur), 4597 nucleotides. Lineage: Eukaryota; Metazoa; Chordata; Mammalia; Primates; Cheirogaleidae. The record is from RefSeq and is a predicted model, not a curated record.
GUGAUUAUGGAGGCGGAGAUGCCACAGGACCUGCUGUCUCAAGCUGGAGGCCCGGGAGAGCAGUGAUGCAUCCAGACCAGUCCAGGGGCUGAAACCGCAGGGGCGUGGGUAUAGGUCCCAGAGUCCACGGGCAGGAGGAGAGGCAGGUCCCAGCUCAAGGAGGGAGAGUGGAUUCCUCUGUGCCGUUGCUAUCUGGGCCCUCAGCACGCUGGUGCCCAUCACCCACGCUGGGCAGCGGAUCUCCCCAACUCAGCCUACUGACUCAAAGACCAGUCUCUCCCAUAAACCCCUCAAAGACCACCCGAGACAAUUCUCUUGGCCCCCAGCCCGGCCAAGCUGACAUGAAAUCCACCAUCACACAGUGACAGAACAGCAAGAAGGAAGGUUUCGGAGCACCUUGGUCUAACUCACCUCUUUUCUUGAAUCUGUGUCUGCAGAACCUCUCAACUCAGUCUUCACUGAGCCCAUUUCUUUCUGUUCUGUUUGUCCAGACACAUCUGCGCUCAGGACAAUGACUCUCAAGACAGGCGCCUGCUUCAGCAAGGAAAGGGGCCAGGUGUGGACCAAAUUCUGGGUCUGAGGUGAGGUGGCCCCUUUCUACGUGUGAGCUCUGCUCUCAGGGAAUCACCUGGUGCCUCCCCAGUGUACACAUUGAAUGUUUAUCUCCUUCCACAGCAUCCAACCCCUAACAGGUCAUCAGAAUCAGCAUCUGGACCCACUGCUACUUGGCAUUCUACCCUCCCUGCCUGUAAACCCCUAAUAUUAAAAUGACAGGUCUCUAAUUACACAGUGAGAGUAACAGAUGAACGGUCUGUCAGGGAAGAGGCACUGAGUCCACAAAAGUAGGCACUCUCUGGUUUGGAUGUCAUCAGAAAACCUUGCACUUUCACAAGGAAGUUCAUAGCCCUGACUUCCCGGAAAGUCAUCAAAUGUCUGAGCUGCAUUUUCAGAGUGACGGAUGACACAGUGUUGGCUCCUCCAGACAAUAGGUUUGAGAUUUCAAAUUGCUGAACAGUCAAAGCUGCACCUGUCCGAGCCUGACCACACUGCACCAGUGCAGAGGUGCAACUCAAUCGCGGAUGAAGAAGGCCGCUCAGCAGAUCCCUGCAGGAGAUGCCCCACUUGGACUCCCCGGCUAGAUGCUGGCGCCCUGAUUCCUGCAAGCAUUGCACAAGGUGCCCCAGGCUGGCAAGGAGGUUAGAUGGGGAGCUGAUGCUCUUGGGGAUGGGCAAGCUGUGAGUCCGGAACAGACCGUUCACCGGAUAAGAACAUGGACAGAUUCCAGCGGGAAGAGGACACUGUCGGACGUUCCUUAGAGUGAAGAGAUGCCGGACUGUCAGGAGGAAGAGGGAACUCAGAAGGUGGCACUGGGAUGAGUGGGGCCAGGCGAGUGGGCAGGGCUGCGAGGACACAGGGUCCCAGGAUGUGGCUGCACCCGCAGGCUCUGGAAAGCAGGCGCGAGUGGCAGAGGGACGCAGCCUAGACCAGACAGUCCAUUGUGAUGACUUUAUCCUAACCCGGGGGACAUCUAGCAACGUCUGGAGACACUUUUAUUGCCAUGACUGGUGCUUAGUGGGUGGAGCCCAGGGAUGCUGUGAAACCUCCCACAAUGUGCAGGACAGAAGCGUCUGCCCAGCAUGAUGUCAACAGCUGAGAAACCCUCACGGAGCCCCAGACCAUUCAGCACAUAGCAAGCACUCGAUAAGUAACUCUGGAUGAAGACAGUGCUCUGAAAUCCUGAUCAUCUCACAUGCCUUCCUGAAGGCUUUGUUCCUCAUUUAUAGCAAAAGUAGUCUGUCUGCAUUUGGGGGGGAAGAGCUGCUAAAAAAAAAUCACAUGUAACAAGCACGUGUGGCCGGUCCUGACACAUGCAUAGGAACACUGUGGCAAAGUGAAGUCACAAUGUCCAGUGACAUCAAACUCUAUUAUCCAUGAGGAGGAGGGCAAAGCACUAUGGCUGCUGCCAUAGGACGACCCGGCCCGUCCGCUGAUGCAGAAGAGCGAGUGGAGUGGAGUGGGCAGGCCUUUGGGGGCGCAGGAACUUCACAGUUCAUUAGCUGCCUGCCCAACUCCUGGCCCGCUGCCACACCAGUUAAUACCGGUUUGGAGGUGAAGUUCACACACAGAGAAGUUCUUGCUGACCGCAGGGAUCGAGAACCGUAGGUGGCACUGGCAGCCACCCAGCACCACGGGGGCACUGGCACCUGGUGCAACACCGAAUCCAGGAAUGGUGAUCGCAGAAGCACACUUCCUGCGGGCCCUGGGUGUGGGCUGGUCCCACCGCCCACCGGCCAUGUCCCCGGCCACAUCCCCGGGCAGGUACACCUCCCAGCGUGGGCCGCAGGCACCUCUCCUGCAAGGCCAGAAGCAGCACUGAGUGCUGAUGUGCAGCACUGAAAUGCAGGGUCUGCCUCUGCGAGAACCUCCUCCCUGUUCUCCCUGGCUUCCAUCUCCAGAGAAAACUGCUCAGCUACUGCUCGAUGCCCUGCAUGGAGAAGAUCCCUAACGUCGGUCUGUUUAUUGGCCAAGAAAGCUGGUGACCAGAGAUGGGGGGCUUUACGCAGUGAGUCAGGAAUGUGUCAAUCCAGAUAACCUAAUUCAUUCAAUACCACUUACCUAAAACAACUACGACCAAAAAGAAGCUGAAGAAAUGUGUACACAUUUUGCAACAUCAGACAGCUGUCCAUGGAGCUGUGUUAAAGUUAAUUCUGAAGAUGAUGGGAAAAAACAAUAGACAUAAAAAUAAUAUUUUAAAGGCAACACAUGGAUUUCCAUUUGUUUUCAUUUUUACAUAUCACUAAGAAAGAUAAAUCCAUGUGCUGUGAAUAUAAUCUGAUAUAGAAACUUGUGAUGAAUAAAGGGCACACCUCAACACCCGAUGUCUCGUGCUAAGGAGAAUCUGAUCCAUGAGGUGUCCCUGCAGGAAUGGGGCGCUGCUCUCGCCGUCUCCGUCUCAGGCAGGGUAGUGGGGUCCAAACACUUGCUGAGACCCUGCCGUUAGUCUUACUUAGCGGGUCUCAUGGGCCGUGUCCAGCAACACACAUCUUGCUUUCCUGUCCCAUUACCGUAUUCUGCUGGGUGUGGCCCAGAGCCCAGACCACACAGCGCUCACAGGGAAGGGAGCAAACAAGCAUUUCCUUCCCGUUCUCAGGGUGAAAUUCUAACUCUGGCAACUUUGUAUAAAAAGUCACCCCCUUCCCUUAUAGACUCUUAGCACUGUGCCUCUUAAAUACAGGUGAGCAAGAAUAAUCAGGAAGAAACGUCCGUAUGUCUGGUGGGGCAUAGACAUCCACGCCAGGCUUUAAAAGAAACAGACCCUUGUGAUCAAAACAUACUCUCUGUGAAGGGAGGGGAGGUUGGCACACACGUCUUGGUCUCUGGGCCCUGUGCUGUCAUUGGCGGGGAGAUGGGUGCACACACACUGGGCUGGAUCUGGUCUCCACAUACACUGAGGGUGCUGUAGGAGCUGGCCCAGCCCCCAGAGGGACAACCACUGCCCCGUGUGCUCUUCCAGGUGAAGUUCAGCCCUGGGCUGAACAGGUUGAGUUCAGCCAAGAGCAGGACAGGUUGAGUCCCUUGAAUUUUCUUCCUGGAAUGUGCAAGAUGCUCUCUCAGGCACCUCGGUGGUGCCCACGUUCCCUGUCCCAAGGUGGGCUGGGAAACUUCCAGAGAAGAGGGUCCAUGGGCGAUAUUUCAAAAGUGCAUUCAUGGCAGAUGCUCAGGAAAUAGCAAUUGGCUAUUAUUUCUGGUGUCCCUGCUCUGCAGAACGAUACCAAGAAAAACAUAAAAUUUCUGGAAAUGUAUUGUCAUUUGAAAGUCGCAUGAAGCACCUACGUAUAUUUCUUUAAUAUACUUGAAUGGGGACAUGGAAAGUGGCCAGUGAUGGUCCCAUUACUUUAUGCUGAGGAUGCGGGGUACAGUGUCCCUCGGGACUUGAGCUGCAAGCCCAGGAGGCGGCCUAGGGAACCCUCAGGAGUUACCGGCGAAACGCAGGACAGUUGAGCUUCAAUCACUCGCCAAUCACAUUAGCAAAAUUCAAAGUCAUUUUCCUUAACAAAUUUAGGGACUUUAUCAUCAUCUAGCAAUAAAGACUGACAUAAAACCCUAAGGAGAAGUAUAUGGAUCCCAUUUAUAUUUCAGAUCAUCAGAAGGGAUAUUGAUGCAAGAUCUUCAGUCCCCACAGUACAGUUGCUCGGGGAGUGCACAGACUCGGUAAAAGCGAGAGGCUGACAGCGUGAAGCCAGGGGAGGCCAUUCAGUUCUUUCUAGGUUUUCAUAAUCAGCUGAUUUUGCAAAUAUAAAGACAUUAUUGGCACCUUAUGAAGGAAGCUUCUUCAAUAUUAAAGGCAUAAUUUUGUUUCCUUUAUAUUAGUUUUAGGUUAUAUGUGUUUGUUUCAGUGCUAGGAAAAAAAGAGCAUCUGUAAAGUAUAGCACAUUUGUAAGGAUUUGCCUAGAGAUAUAGGCAAGUGUGUUUGUCUUGAAUAUUAAACAAAGGUGGAUAGUUUAUACAAUGUAACCACCUAUAGAAUUUAUUAGACAGCAACGAAACAUUUAAAACAAUUCCAGGUGGCUGGUGAGUUUAUAUUUCUCUCUAAAGC